RNAcentral lists this long non-coding RNA (471 nucleotides) under Danio rerio (zebrafish). RNAcentral's name for it is "si:ch211-24o8.5 (ENSDARG00000100144.2)". The record is from RNAcentral. Lineage: Eukaryota; Metazoa; Chordata; Actinopteri; Cypriniformes; Danionidae.
CAGAAUAUAUUAAAGAUUCUUUUUAGCAAGAAUGUAGUUAUGUAGACUUGAUAUAUAAUGUUUUUUAAUGAAGUAAAUGGCUAUUUUCAAGAGAAUAAGCAUUUUCUUUGAUGUGACGACAGUGUCCGUGAUCCGCCAUUCCAAACGAAAAAAGCUUCGUUGCUAACGUUAGCUCAGUCCUUUGUGAAUUUACCGUGGCUUUUACUGUGGUUAACAUUAAGCAUGCGUUUAGAUAGUUGUGAACGGACAGUACCAUACUGAUUUUGUUAUAGAACGAUUUGGUCUGGCGUUAGGGCACUACUGACUGUCUUAAGCAGGUUGUCGAAUGUGUGCCCAUACUGGCGUAACAUUAACUUUUAACGUAAAGGGCGUCCAUUUAUAGUUCUUUAUUUUUUUACGUGAGAUGCUGUAAUUAUGUCUUUGGGGUUAUAAUGCACUUAAUAGGCUAACUUAUAUUCACAGCAAGUGUUU